CCCCGUUACGAUGCUCGAUGUGAGAUGUUGUGCCCUUGAGGCGUGGCUUCCGAAGCUAACGCGUUAAAUCGACCGCCUGGGGAGUACGGCCGCAAGGUUAAAACUCAAAUGAAUUGACGGGGGCCCGCACAAGCGGUGGAACAUGUGGUUUAAUUCGAUGCAACGCGAAAAACCUUACCUACUCUUGACAUCCACCGAAUCCUGUAGAAAUACGGGAGUGCCUUCCGGAACGCUGAAACAGGUGCUGCAUGGCUGUCGUCCGCUCGUGUUGUGAAAUGUUGGGUUAAGUCCCGCAACGAGCGCAACCCUUAUCCUUUGUUGCCAGCGGUUCGGCCGGGAACUCACAGGAGACUGCCCGUGAUAAACUGGAGGAAAGUGGGGAUGACAUCUAGUCAUCAUGGCCCUUACAAGUACGGCUACACACGUGCUACAAUGGCGUAUACAAAGAGAAGCGAACUCCCGAGAGCAAGCGGACCUCACAAAGUACCUCUUACUCCGGAUUGGAGUCUGCAACUCUACUCCCUGAAAUCUGAAUCGCUCGUAAUCGUGGAUCACAAUGCCACGGUGAAUACGUUCCCGGGCCUUGUACACACCGCCCGUCACACCAUGGGAGUGGGUUGCAAAACAAGUAGGUAGCUUAACCUUCUGGAGGGCGCUUACCACUUUGUGAUUCAUGACUGGGGUGAAGUCGUACAAGGGAAACCAAAAAAA
Molecule: ribosomal RNA, 711 nt
Filed under: Edwardsiella tarda
Lineage: Bacteria; Pseudomonadati; Pseudomonadota; Gammaproteobacteria; Enterobacterales; Hafniaceae
Description: bacterial SSU rRNA
Rfam family: Bacterial small subunit ribosomal RNA
Source: RNAcentral